GACGAACGCUGGCGGCGUGCUUAACACAUGCAAGUCGAACGCUGAAGCUCAGCUUUUGUUGGGUGGAUGAGUGGCGAACGGGUGAGUAACACGUGAGUAACCUGCCUCCUUCUUUGGGAUAACGCCCGGAAACGGGUGCUAAUACUGGAUAUUCACUGGUCUUCGCAUGGGGGUUGGUGGAAAGGGUUUUUCUGGUGGGGGAUGGGCUCGCGGCCUAUCAGCUUGUUGGUGGGGUGAUGGCCUACCAAGGCUUUGACGGGUAGCCGGCCUGAGAGGGUGACCGGUCACAUUGGGACUGAGAUCCGGCCCAGACUCCUACGGGAGGAAGCAGUGGGGAAUAUUGCACAAUGGGCGCAAGCCUGAUGCAGCGACGCCGCGUGAGGGAUGGAGGCCUUCGGGUUGUGAACCUCUUUCGCUCAUGGUCAAGCCGCAACAAUGGUUGUGGUGAGGGUAGUGGGUAAAGAAGCGCCGGCUAACUACGUG
This 483-nucleotide ribosomal RNA is filed under the name uncultured bacterium. Its description in RNAcentral is "partial 16S ribosomal RNA". It matches the Rfam family "Bacterial small subunit ribosomal RNA", at positions 28 to 507 of the family's 1533-position model. The record is from RNAcentral.